Molecule: transfer RNA, 90 nt
Filed under: Okeania sp. SIO2H7
Lineage: Bacteria; Bacillati; Cyanobacteriota; Cyanophyceae; Oscillatoriales; Microcoleaceae
Also listed under: 2 other names
Description: tRNA-Ser
Rfam family: tRNA
About the family: Transfer RNA (tRNA) molecules are approximately 80 nucleotides in length. Their secondary structure includes four short double-helical elements and three loops (D, anti-codon, and T loops).
Source: RNAcentral
GGAGAGGUGGCCGAGUGGUUGAAGGCGCUGCACUGGAAAUGCAGUUUAGUGGUAAAGCCGCUAACGAGGGUUCGAAUCCCUCCCUCUCCG